AACAUCGCGCACCUGCGGGAACCUGCGGAGGGAUCAUUAAUGAUUGGUGGCUGUUGCUGACUAGUGUUUCUAGUAUGUGCACGCCACACCUUCAAUCCCACUUACACCUGUGCACCUUCUGUAAUAGAUCUAUGUGGAUACGGAGACAUGAAAGUUUGCGCUCUCGUACUCUGUUGAAGCAGUCUACUACGUUUUUUUACACACACACAAUAGUCAUUGAAUGUAUUUUUUAUUCUUAUG
RNAcentral lists this unclassified non-coding RNA (240 nucleotides) under soil metagenome. RNAcentral's name for it is "partial contains 5.8S ribosomal RNA, internal transcribed spacer 2, and large subunit ribosomal RNA". The record is from RNAcentral.